AAAAAAGGUAAGCUACUAAGAGCGAAUGGUGGAUGCCUUGACUGGUAAAGGCGAUGAAGGACGUACUAGACUGCGAUAAGCUACGGGGAGCUGUCAAGAAGCUUUGAUCCGUAGAUUUCCGAAUGGGGCAACCCAAUGUAUAGAGAUAUACAUUACCUAUAUAGGAGCGAACGAGGGGAAUUGAAACAUCUUAGUACCCUCAGGAAAAGAAAUCAAUAGAGAUUGCGUCAGUAGCGGCGAGCGAAAGCGCAAGAGGGCAAACCCAGUGCUUGCACUGGGGGUUGUAGGACUGCAAUGUGCAAGAGGUGAGUUUAGCAGAACAUUCUGGAAAGUAUAGCCAUAGAGGGUGAUAGUCCCGUAUGCGAAAAACAAACCUUAGCUAGCAGUAUCCUGAGUAGGGCGGGACACGAGAAAUCCUGUCUGAAGCUGGGUCGACCACGAUCCAACCCUAAAUACUAAUACCAGAUCGAUAGUGCACAAGUACCGUGAGGGAAAGGUGAAAAGAACUGAGGUGAUCAGAGUGAAAUAGAACCUGAAACCAUUUGCUUACAAUCAUUCAGAGCCCUAUGUAGCAAUACAGGGUGAUGGACUGCCUUUUGCAUAAUGAGCCUGCGAGUUGUGGUGUCUGGCAAGGUUAAGCAAACGCGAAGCCGUAGCGAAAGCGAGUCUGAAUAGGGCGCUUAGUCAGAUGCUGCAGACCCGAAACGAAGUGAUCUAUCCAUGAGCAAGUUGAAGCUAGUGUAAGAACUAGUGGAGGACUGAACCCAUAGGCGUUGAAAAGCCCCGGGAUGACUUGUGGAUAGGGGUGAAAGGCCAAUCAAACUUCGUGAUAGCUGGUUCUCUCCGAAAUAUAUUUAGGUAUAGCGUUGUGUCGUAAUAUAAGGGGGUAGAGCACUGAAUGGGCUAGGGCAUACACCAAUGUACCAAACCCUAUCAAACUCCGAAUACCUUAUAUGUAAUCACAGCAGUCAGGCGGCGAGUGAUAAAAUCCGUCGUCAAGAGGGAAACAACCCAGACUACCAGCUAAGGUCCCUAAAUCUUACUUAAGUGGAAAACGAUGUGAAGUUACUUAAACAACCAGGAGGUUGGCUUAGAAGCAGCCAUCCUUUAAAGAAAGCGUAAUAGCUCACUGGUCUAGUGAUUUUGCGCGGAAAAUAUAACGGGGCUAAAGUAAGUACCGAAGCUGUAGACUUGCGCACAACUUAGAUUAUUUAAGUUUAGAAUAUGAGAAACUAAGUUAUAUGUUUAGUUAUAUUUUUACUGAUUUUUAUAGAGUAAAGAUAGAAAUAAAACUUAGUAAAAUCAGUAAAAAUAUUCUUAGACUAAAGUUAAGUAGUUUAAGUUGUGUGCAAGUGGUAGGAGAGCGUUCUAUUUGCGUCGAAGGUAUACCGGUAAGGAGUGCUGGAGCGAAUAGAAGUGAGCAUGCAGGCAUGAGUAGCGAUAAUUAAUGUGAGAAUCAUUAACGCCGUAAACCCAAGGUUUCCUACGCGAUGCUCGUCAUCGUAGGGUUAGUCGGGUCCUAAGUCGAGUCCGAAAGGGGUAGACGAUGGCAAAUUGGUUAAUAUUCCAAUACCAACAUUAGUGUGCGAUGGAAGGAC
RNAcentral lists this ribosomal RNA (1598 nucleotides) under Campylobacter coli. RNAcentral describes it as "partial 23S ribosomal RNA". It matches the Rfam family "Bacterial large subunit ribosomal RNA", at positions 1 to 1473 of the family's 2925-position model. The record is from RNAcentral. Lineage: Bacteria; Pseudomonadati; Campylobacterota; Epsilonproteobacteria; Campylobacterales; Campylobacteraceae.